GGAGGUGGAAGUUCGCUGGCUACUAACACACAGGGUUGGUCUCCAGCUUUCUUGAGCAAUUCCACGAUCUUCCAGAUGACAUCAUCCUCUGCAAGAGAGCAUGGGUACCACCACUCCUAGGGAGAAGAGAAACACAUGUGGCGAUCAGAGGACAUCUCGCAGAAGCCAGUUCUCUCCGUUUAAUAUACGGGUCCCAGGAAUCAAACUCACAUCAUCAGGGCUUGCUAUAACAUGCCUUUACCCUCUGAGCCAUCUCACAGCCCAAAGCAUGAUGUUUUAUGCAGGGAUUUAAGACCCGAUGUCCACUUGCCCUGUCAACUGAGCUUUCUAGAUCUGGGAACUUUGAAUUGGUGGUGGCCAAAUCACGUCCCCCUCUGGAUCUUUACAGCUUUCCCUGUGAAAUAUGGGUCACAAUCUCUCAUGGGCUGUCAGGACAUCAAACAAAGGAGCAGGGAUUAGAAACAUUUCCCAAGGCUGAUUCCAAGUCUUCCAGCCCCACAUAAUAACGGGUCCCUAUCCUAAGGCACAGAGAGGACAUCAGGUGGCGCUCCACAGGUCACACUGGACCUGCCCCAGAGCUGCUUCCACUACUCCUCACACCAGAACAUUUCCUUGGGUGGCUUGUUCUGCCUUACACAGGGGUGACGUGCCCACUCCACUAGCUGCACCCCAAAGGUCUGUUUGCAUGAAAUGUCAAACAAACAAGCAUCUCUGCCCCUGGCUUCCUGUUUCCUGACAGUCUACAGUUCAUUUUCCUCUCAGGCAAGACAAUGGUAAAGUAAAUACCUUACAAACUGGCCACAGAAAUGCUUUUCCAUCCCUUGCAAUCCCUGCCUUUAAAAAUUCGGCCCUCGUUUUUAGACAGUUAAAUGAAGAGGGUAUGUGUGG
This 888-nucleotide long non-coding RNA is filed under the name Mus caroli (Ryukyu mouse). RNAcentral describes it as "RIKEN cDNA 1700030A11 gene (MGP_CAROLIEiJ_G0003007.1)". Lineage: Eukaryota; Metazoa; Chordata; Mammalia; Rodentia; Muridae. The record is from RNAcentral.